This 3448-nucleotide long non-coding RNA is filed under the name Sparus aurata (gilthead seabream). RNAcentral describes it as "lncRNA (ENSSAUG00010009520.1)". The record is from RNAcentral. Lineage: Eukaryota; Metazoa; Chordata; Actinopteri; Spariformes; Sparidae.
AGAGGAACAGAGUCUUGCUGAGGAAGAAGUGAAGGAAGUGACUGAGGACUCUAUUGUCGAGGAACCAGAAGCAAAAGAGGAAGCAGAGCCACAGCAGACCUCCCCCUCUCCACCUCCAAGUCCUGAACCAGUUGAGACAGCGGAGCCAGAGCCAGAGCCAGAGCCUGAAUCACAACCUGAGCCAGAGCCAGAGACCAAGGAAGCCAGUCCAGAAGCAGAGCCUAUAACCCAGCAGCCACAGAAAUCUGAGAAAGACGGUCAAAGCCCCAACGCUGACAAAACAUCUGAAAAACUCCAGUCAGCUGUGAUGCAAUUAAGAGCUGCCUGAUGCGCAUUCCGCACACCUCAGAGUGCUUCGGCAACAUCAACGCAUUCUUCAAAGAAAACGGCAUCUCCACUCCCAAAAUACCCUCCAUGCCUAAGCUACCCACCCAGCUCUCUGACGUUACCAAGUACCUACCCUCCCUACCACCUGAAUUGCGCCAAGAGUUCUCCCAGAUCCGACUCACACAGGUCCCGCGAAAUAUUGCCCAAACUCUGACUGAGUUGUUGCCCAAAAGCUCUGAAGGAUCAGUUGGCCCCAGUCUGUCCAGUCUUUCCCAGAGCUUUUCAGACAUCCCGCAGAAGCUCUCCCAGAUUCCUAGCCGGACGCAGCAGUACUUCCUUAACGUCCAGAACCGCCUCAACAGCCUUAUGCCUCAAGAUGCCUAAGAAACAACAACAGCAAAAUCAGCAGAAAGACAAGAAUCAGCACGAUUUAGAGCUCAACCAGCUCAUCCGACACUCCCCUCUCCCUCCUGCUCACCAUCCUCAGCUCCGCUCCCGCUCCCCGUCGCCAUCCUCUCCUAACGGAAGCGCCCUCGAACUGCCAAAUGUGCCAUCCUACCCACGCCUGCCGCCUAUUGUCAGUCCCCCAUCAAAGCAGCUCAACUCACUUUCCCGCCAGCUGUCAGGUCUCUCUAACCCGGCGUUCUUCAUUGAAGACGACUCAGACAUUCCAGCAAUAAGACGUGCAGACAGCUCAAGCAUAAGCCUUCGUCCAGCCGUCAAUGUAGAGGAUGUUGACUCAGAUCAUGAGAUAGGGGGGAGAGGAAGAGGAGGGGAGGGACAGAGCAAUGUUCCCCAAAUCCUAACCCCACAGGACCCAAAACUUACAACCCUAACUGUCCCCGUGACCCCUUCAGGAGGUCGUCAAAGUAAAGGAGAAAAAGAUAGGAGGCUGCACUCCCAAAGUGAGGACGAUGAUGAUGAAGCAAACAUCCCUGUCAGAGCCUGGCCCAGCCAGUCCAGCCUGCACAGCACAGAUGACAUACUUAAAGAGCGUCCAGCGUCUUCAGCUAGUCAGACCAGUACAGUGGUCAACGAGCGUCUUCAGGAGCUGGUCCGGAUGUUUAAAGAGAGAACCGAGAAGGCUAAGGAGAAACUCAUUGACCCUGACAGCUCAGAUGAAGACAGCAUUAUCCCAUCUCCUCCUCAGGCUUCAGCUCCUCAGCCUGCUCCUGCAGCUCAGCCGGUGGACGAGGGAGAGGCACAAGCAGGUCCAUCAGGAGGAGCCGGAGGGGGAGGAGGAAUAGAAAGUGGAGCAGAGGAGGAGCAGUGUGGCCGCCGCAGCAAGGUGAAAACUCCUCGAUGGAUACAAGCCUGUAUGCACUACCGCUUCCCUGCCAGCAUCGACCCCUUCACCAACCUGAUGUACGUGCUGUGGAUGCUACUGGUCACUCUGGCAUGGAACUGGAACGUGUGGUUCAUCCCUGUGCGCUGGGCGUUUCCCUACCAGACUCCAGACAAUAUUUACUACUGGCUGCUGAUCGACUACCUGUGUGACCUUAUUUACAUUCUGGACAUCAGCAUCUUUCAGCCGCGGCUGCAGUUUAUCCGAGGAGGGGACAUAGUGUUUGAUGUAGCCAGCCUUAUUCCGCUGGAACUCUUCUAUUUUAAAACUGGCGUCAACCCUCUACUUCGCUUACCCAGACUACUGAAGAUCAACUCCUUUUUUGAGUUCAACGAGCGUCUCGAGGCCAUCUUAACCAAAGCCUACAUCUACAGGGUGAUACGUACGACCACCUACCUUCUUUACUGUCUCCACUGCAACGCCUGUCUGUACUACUGGGGCUCUGCCUUCAAUGGACUAGGAUCAACAAAAUGGGUGUAUGAUGGCAAGGGCAACAGUUACAUUCGCUGUUACUACUUUGCGGUGAAGACCCUCAUCACCAUUGGCGGUCUGCCGGACCCCACCACCCUGUUUGAGAUUGUCUUCCAACUUAUCAACUACUUUGUUGGAGUCUUCGCCUUCUCUAUCAUGAUUGGACAGAUGCGUGACGUGGUCGGUGCAGCCACAGCUGGUCAGACUUACUACCGCACAUGUAUGGACAACACGAUUAAAUACAUGUCCUCCUAUCGAAUCCCCAAAGACGUCCAAAACCGUGUCAAAACCUGGUACAACUAUACCUGGCAAUCACAAGGCAUGCUAGAUGAGCAGGAGUUACUGACUCAGUUGCCAGAUAAAAUGCGUCUGGACAUUGCUAUAGAUGUCAACUAUUCCAUCGUCAGCAAAGUCCCCCUUUUCCAGGGUUGUGACAGACAGAUGAUCUUUGACAUGCUGAAAAGCUUACGCUCCGUUGUUUACCUGCCUGGAGAUUAUGUCUGCAAAAAGGGUGAGGUGGGUCGGGAGAUGUACAUCAUAAAAGCAGGGGAGGUGCAGGUGGUUGGAGGGCCUGAUGGAAAGACAGUCUUUGUAACUCUCAGAGCAGGAUCAGUGUUUGGAGAGAUCAGUUUGCUUGCAGUAGGCGGGGUUAACAGGCGCACAGCAAACGUGAUCGCACACGGCUUUGCCAAUCUCUUCAUCCUGGACAAGAAAGACCUGAAUGAGAUCCUGGUCCACUAUCCCGAGUCCAAGAAACUGCUCCGCAAGAAGGCCAGAAAGAUGCUUGCUAAGGGAAAGAAACCUGAACCCAAAGCAGAGGCUAAGGAUCCACCUCAGGUCCCGCCAGCCCCUGUUAGGGCGGAGACCCCUAGACUGCUGAGAGCUGCCCUGGAGAUGACAGAGAGAUCGUCUGGACUUAAAGGAGCUCUGGCUAAAGUCAAAGAGAAGACCAACAAGUCCAGUAUCUCGUUACAGGUAAACAGAGUGAAAACUGAGCAGACCAAAAAAGAAACAGAUGCAUAUGUGGCAGUGCCCUCCAUCUCCUCCACCCUGCCUCCUCCAUCUCCCACCUCCAGCUCAGGACCUGACAGAGACGCAGACACGCCGUCACCCAUGUCUGCCAGCUCUGCGAUGUAUCGCUCCGCUUCCCAUUGCCGCAACAACAACAACAACUCUGCCAGGCCUCACUCUCCCUCGCAGUGCCAUGGCGACGAAGACGAGAUUCUUGCCGUGAACCGAAGAGAGGAGGGUGCCAGUGAGGUUGAUGGAAGCAGAUGUGGGAAUAGGAAGGAGAAGACGUUGUGA